Molecule: ribosomal RNA, 515 nt
Filed under: uncultured Glomus
Lineage: Eukaryota; Fungi; Glomeromycota; Glomeromycetes; Glomerales; Glomeraceae
Description: SSU rRNA
Rfam family: Eukaryotic small subunit ribosomal RNA
Source: RNAcentral
UUGGAGGGCAAGUCUGGUGCCAGCAGCCGCGGUAAUUCCAGCUCCAAUAGCGUAUAUUAAAGUUGUUGCAGUUAAAAAGCUCGUAGUUGAAUUUCGGGAUCAAUUUAUUGGUCGUGCAAUAGUACGUACUGAUUUUAUUGAUUCCUCUCUUCUGAAGAACUAUGAUGUCAUUAAUUUGGUGUCAUAGGGAAGCAGGACUGUUACUUUGAAAAAAUUAGAGUGUUUAAAGCAGGCUCACGCUUGAAUACAUUAGCAUGGAAUAACGAAAUAGGACGUUUGAUUCUAUUUUGUUGGUUUCUAGGAUCGACGUAAUGAUUAAUAGGGAUAGUUGGGGGCAUUAGUAUUCAAUUGUCAGAGGUGAAAUUCUUGGAUUUAUUGAAGACUAACUACUGCGAAAGCAUUUGCCAAGGAUGUUUUCAUUAAUCAAGAACGAAAGUUAGGGGAUCGAAGACGAUCAGAUACCGUCGUAGUCUUAACCAUAAACUAUGCCGACUAGGGAAUCGGGAGUAUGUCCA